This 76-nucleotide transfer RNA is filed under the name Candidatus Methanoplasma sp. RNAcentral's name for it is "tRNA-Arg". It matches the Rfam family "tRNA". Rfam says of the family: Transfer RNA (tRNA) molecules are approximately 80 nucleotides in length. Their secondary structure includes four short double-helical elements and three loops (D, anti-codon, and T loops). The record is from RNAcentral. Lineage: Archaea; Methanobacteriati; Thermoplasmatota; Thermoplasmata; Methanomassiliicoccales; Methanomassiliicoccaceae.
GGGCCCGUGGGGUAGCGGAUUAUCCUUUCGGCCUUCGGAGCCGAACACCCGGGUUCGAAUCCCGGCGGGCCCACCA